Molecule: long non-coding RNA, 21775 nt
Organism: Catharus ustulatus (Swainson's thrush)
Lineage: Eukaryota; Metazoa; Chordata; Aves; Passeriformes; Turdidae
Exons: 2
Source: RefSeq, a predicted model, not a curated record
UGAGAAUCCCCUUCAGAGUCUUGUUCAAAAAUCAGUAAAUAUCCAAAUGUGCCUUCUUAAUUUCCUAAUAAAUUAAUCAAAAUGUUAAAAAAACCCUACCCUCUGUAUGAUUUAUUACCUCGCUGUUGCUCAGGACUCAUAAUAAUUUUUUUUAUUCUUGGAAUUUCCUGUGGAAUCUGUUCUCUGUACUUGAUUAGAUGGUCUGGAGUGAAACUGUUUUUCCUUCCAACUCUGGCCAAAAUAUGGGUGAAUCAUCUCUUGUCGAGGGUGUUUUUCCUUAAAAUUGUAAAGGUAAAUCUUUUGUUUUAGUGCUAGGUACUUCAGAGUUCUGUUUCAAUUAAUUAUUCCUCAAGGAUACUGUUAUGUCACAGGUGGUUACAGGGUCAAUAUUAUUUAAACAAAAUUUUAUGUCAGUCAGGCUGUGUGCCAGCCCUUGCAAAAGAAUCCAGCUUCCAGUGGACUCUAACAGAAAGUUCUAAAAUAUUUCAUUUUAUUUUACAUAAAGUUUUAAUUUUUGUUUCCUGAAGAAGAUUUUGGUUCUUAGAGAAGAGGAAUCCUGGUUGGUGUUAGCUAUGAUUUUUAUUGUGAUGAGGGAAUUAAGAUGCUUGCUUAGAUUAAAGUUGUUAUGCUUUCCUCCAACCCAGAGUUCCUUGUUAUGUUCUCUGAAACUCCCUUAUGUUGUAUUUAGGGAUUAUAAAAUCUCCCAUGUGUAUCUCAGUGUGUUAGUACACACUGUCCCACAGACACCUUCCCUGGCUGGCAUAAGAGUUUGGGUCCCUAAAAGCUGACCAGCACUGAAGAAAGAAGUCAGGUUUUUAUCUCAGGGAUAGUGAUGCAGAUUCACAGUAGCCAUGUAAACACAGGCUUUGUGGAGUUGUCCAAGCUUGCCUGGAAAGAGGGAAAGUAGUCGAAGGCAGUAGAGGGAAAGAAGCCAAAAUGUGUUAACUGCCAAAUUAUAAAAUUACUUUAUGCUCCAGGCUUCUGACUGUAGUCCUUCUUGCACCUGCCCCUAAAGGAGUUUUAGUGGCAUGUCAGGGGGGAGGACAAAAUCCAAAGAGCUCCAGUAACCACUGGAAGGAAGAGGAGACCAGAACUUCAGUUUGCAGCCAGAGGUGACCUCUGGAUAAGGGCAUUGUUUUCUUUGCUCCAGUGCAGUUUUGAUAUUUAAGAAUAGAGAAAUGGAAGGGGCUGCUCAAGCCUCAUUAACUUAAUCCCCUGUGUUAUAGAAAAACAUGAAGUGGAAGCUUUUUCCCCACUGCAAUCCUAAAAUAAACAAGAAUUUACAGAAAAUAAAGUUUUUCCCCUGCUGGGCAGGAAGUCUUGAUGGUAAACUUCUGCUGUCCCUGAACUGAUGAAUCAUAAUAGCAAAAUGGAUUUUUUUUUCUCAAGAAUUUGGCCAAUUGCUUGCAUUCUUUUAGACCCAUGUGGAUUAUUGAUAUCUUCAAUAUACUGUGGUGGUAAGUGCUACAUCAUAAAAAUAGACUGUGGGAAAAAAAGAGCCUUUUUAACUUUCAAUUUAUCAUCUACUAAUUUGUUUCAUCCCCCAGCAGUCUCUUACAGGAAAAAACAGUUGAACAAUUGUUUCCUUUCUACCAUUUCUGUGGUAAAAUAACUUCCCAUAAUUUUAAGUUCUUAUAUCAAGUGUUUCCAUCAGUCAUACCCUUUGCAGUCUUGGCAGGUCCUGCUAUCUUCUGUUGUUCCUGUUAUUGAAGGCAUUUCAUACCUUUAAACAUCCUUACAGCCCUCCUCUGUACAUAUUUUCUUUUAUCAUCUGUUUUCAAGAGGGCCAGAACUGCAUUCAAAAAUGUGAUUUCAACAUCAGUCUACACAAUACCUUUUUAUCAUUUAAUCAGCAAUUUAUCCAGAAGAGGACUUUUGUUCCAUGGCAUCUUAGUAUCUCUAAGAGUCUCCAGUGAGAAUGUGUAGAAUGGCUUUUAUAAAUCCAGGUAAAUGAAAUCAAGUGGAUCUCCCUUUUCAUGCAGUCUGUGAUGGCUGGAUAUGAAAGGUAUUCUUAGAUACCCAAUAUUGUUUUUCUACUUGACUUAUAUUCUUUGAUUACAGUAUCUAUCAGCUAUCCCAGAUCGAUGUCACUCUGAUGUCCCUUAGAGAAUUCUUCCAGUGGAAUGUGUGUGGGAGGGAAGAAAAAAAUGGCUGGUUUUUGUAUAAGACAUGUGUAGUCACCACUCCAAAGAAAGCACAGGCAAGUUAUACUAUUUCUGUCACCUUAUGUGCAGAUGAAAAGCAGUUCAAAAGCUUUGAAAAUCUCCACAUUGACACGUUUAAAAGUUUAAGCUUGGUUACAUUUAACAUCCAGUUCCACUGAUGCUGGAUAUAAAUCUAUAUCAAAAUAACUCCCUUUUGCAGAUUUUUGUGAAUUCUGUGCAUUCAGACAAGGAUUACUUAAACUGGCUGUUAAAUACAUCUUAAUUGAAAUCAGUUUGUUAUUCUCAAAGUCUUUUUCAAAGCAAAAUUGGGGACAUGCUUUAUUUGAGAAGCCAAGAAUUCAAUUUUCAUGUAACUGACUUUUUUGUAGGCUUAAAUAAAAUGCAAUAUACAGUUACUAAGAUUUUACUCCAGUUACUAAAUUUCACAGUCCCUAUUAUCCAACUAAAUUAAUACUUCUGACUGAAUGAAAAAUAAUCAAUUUAAACUGUUGCAGAGAAAUGCACACGAGCACAUGCACACACACUGACUGGGGUGUGGUGUUGAUUACUGGGUUUCCUCCUCUUCCUUGCCAAGAGGAAUGUAAUGUUGGCAACUUCUUCCACACUCUAGGUUCCACUUGGGGCUAUUUUCAUGUUUGCUGAUAUUGUAAUGGAUCUUGCAUUUUUUUCCACUGGUCUGCAAGUGCAUCUCAUCUGCAUUUACAAUAUACAGUGCAUUUUAAAUGUGUUGGAUAAUGCUUUCUGCUCUUUUGCUCCUGACACUAGCUUUGCCCUGCUCCAAGUUGUGAGUAUCUUUAAUUUACCAUUGAUGAGUAUUUGCAUCCUUAAUGUGAUUCCAAGCCCCCUCUUAACAAUCCAGGCCUGUAUUUGUCUAGACCACAUCCAGUAUUCACACUUUGAGGGCCUUGCUGUUAUUCCUAUAUAAUUGCACUGGCUGCUGCAUGUGUGAGUCCUAAAUACAUCUCUCUUUGUAGAAUAACCAACUGCCACCAUUGUCUCUAUAAAAACUUUUACAUCAUAUGAUUACAAUAAGCAAAAGUACGUAGAAUGUGGAGUAGCUGUCUGGUCACUACAAAAAAAUAAGUUACAGCUAAGCAAGCUAAACUAAGGUUACCAGUCAGACUAAGACAAGUUCAGCCAAAGAGGAGAACCAGAUAACUAGUGUAAUAAACAUCAGAUUGAAGAGGCAUCACUUACAACAAAAAGAUUAGCAAAAUAACUUACUGUUUUCUAUACAUAGCUGUAGAUCUCUGUAGGUGCCUUCUUGCAAGGCACCACCAAAUUAAAACAGGAGAAGGUUGUGUAUGCUUAUGUUAUGGAUGCUGUGUCACUCUUAACAAGUGAUGUGAUCCAGAAUGAGCAGAUCUGCUGAAAUGAGUUGGUGCUGGACCUUGCUAGGGAAGGGAUUGCUCUGGACUUGUUGUAGUCUGGCCUGGGGCAGUGGCUGCCAAUACCAGUUGGAAUUUGUUGCCCGUGCUUCUGAAGAACAGCUUCUGCUUUAGACUCCAUGGCUAGAAAUCCUCUUCAUGUCCACCAGCACAGUUUUGUGGCAUGAACCAAAGUGCGCAAGAGGGAAUGGUCCUGAUCUGAAUGAAAAUACUAAUGUAGGUAUGCCUUGUAUGGGUUCAGAACCAUGGUGAGUCAACCUUUUAAGUGGCAUUUUUUUACUUACUGGCACAUUUCCCAGUAGCAAAGGAAGAAAUUAAGAAAUUAGGACUGGAAGCAGGAAGCUAAACAAAACAUGUGAAAUGUGAGAGGGAUAUGAGGUUUCAUGAUAAAUGCACUCAGGCAACCAGUGAGAUACUUCUGCAAGGGCUAUGAUGAGAUACGAAAUGUAGCUGCAAGAGGUCAUCUACUCAUAGAUCAAGCUGGAAAAUGGAAAAGCACUGUCUGCAAGCCUGGAUAAGCAUGCACUCAUGCUUCAGUGGGAGGAAAAAAAUGGAAAGUAACAAUGUUGAAAGACAAGCACACUUCAAGUUGAAUCUCAUUCUAUUAGGCUGGUCCUUAUUUGUAAUGUCUUGUUCUCUUUCAUGACAGGUGGGGCAGAAGAUACUACUAUAUAAAAUGGUAGCCAGGAUCUUGAAUUACAAAAGGCAAGGAGAAAAGAUCUGAUUUUGUGGUGAAACCAUCCACGCAGAAAAUUCUUUUCAAUGCAAAAGUAAUAACUGAAUGCUAUUAGCUGUAAUCGUAAACCUAAGCUAAUAUCAUGUUGUGUUUAUUCCCACUGAGUGGUUUCCUGCGAGUCUGGUCUUUUGCAUCUCCUUAAUCCCUGCAAAUGCUACUUUGUGCAUUUUCCUUUCUAACGCUCUGCUUUUCUACCUGCUGUCCGUGUGCCACAUGCAAUUUUAGUGAGCAUGCAGGAUUAUCUAUUUAGCAGUAGCUAGCACUGGCUGGCAUUUGCAUGCUACCUCUUUUCAAUUCAAUUACUGACUGUGCACAGGGCAGUAAUUGCAGUUUCAGAAAGCUAAGGUUAAUGAGUAAAUUGAGUUUUAUGUCUUCCUGGGUCAUAAGAUAAAAUUUAUGGAUAAAAUAUUUGUAUAGGAGAGAUUUAAAUAGUGGCUGUUGUGCCUGGCUGUGCUGGAAGCUCAUAAGGAAAGUUUAGGUGUCUGCUGAAAUAGAAAAUGUCAUUGAUAAUGAAACUCAAAGGAGGAUGGAAAAGAGCUGUUCUGAGCAAUUCAAUUUCUCUUUUCCCCCUUAAUGGACAAAGCAUGCAAUUUGGCCAGUGAUAAAAGUGAACUUAGUUUUUCUGCAACAAGACCAAUUUUUGCUAUGCACUGCACAGCUCUAAGAAGGCAUCAUAAGUAAAUAUCACUGUUUGAGAGACAAAACAACAAAAAAAGGGAGGUUUGUCUGGCUACUACUACUUUAGGGAAGAGAGUUGAAAGAGUGUUUGUGGAGAAAACGAAGAGAAAAUGGAAAAUGGAUGGGAGCAUGUCCCGAGUAGGUUGGAUUUACAUGCGAGAAUUGAAAGUGGAAGAGAAAAGGAGGAAGACUAGUCAAGCAAAUAUUAAUGAGGAAAUUGGCCUCCUUAGUAUUAAACCUGUAUUGUCAGGCUGCCAGAUUUAGUGGGGGAAGUGCUUGCCUUGUCAGUGCUAGCUGAGCUGAGCUGAGCUCCUGGUGUGCUUCCUGCCAGUCAGAAGGGAGCUGGCUGAGCACUGUGCAAGUGGCACACCAGCACCCCUCUGGCAGCCCCAGCAAGCAGGGCUCAGACCCUUGGAUCAGGAUCCAAGGAACUGUCACAUAAAAGUCUCAUGCACACAUGGGCCUACUGGACAGGACUGCCAGGAGCCUCCAGAGCACUACUCCAGUGGGAGCAGAAGAAUUAGAAGGAAUGGAAUGAAGGAAGGAAGGAAGGAAGGAAGAAGCAGACUGAAAUGGAAGAGAGAAACUGAAACAAAUGUUGAUAAUAUUAAAAAGCAUAGUCUAGAUCUUGCCAACAAAAUCAUCAGCGUGUGAGUGGAAGCAUCUUUCAACUAGAAAUGGUCUGUAUGUACUUUGUUUUUGAAACAUAUAUGUCAGGCUACUUUUAUGGUGGACAGAAAACUUCGACCCCCAGCUUUUGUUGAAACUAUGUCAACUACAGCAGCAAAAUCACUUUUUCUAGCAUUACAAUAUUUGACAUGACAUUCCAAGUGAUGUGCAAGACAGUAGAACUAAAAGGGAGAUGCAUUAAUGUAGGUUAGUAUUUUCUGCAUUUUCUGUCCUGGUUUCAGCUGGGAGAAAGUUAAUUUUCUUCCUAGUUGCUGGUACAGUGCUCUGGUUUGGAUUUAGUAUGAGAGUAUGAGAGUAACAUUGAAAACACACUGAUGUUUCCAGUUGUUGCUGAACAAUUUACAGCACUUUUUAGCUUCUUGUGCUUGACAGUGAGAAGGCUGGAGAGGCACAAGCUGUGUGGGGACAAAGCUUGGACAGCUGACCCCAACUGACCCAAGGGAUGUUCCAUACCAUAUGGCAUCAUGCUCUGUAUAUGAACUGGGGGGGAGCUGGCUGGGAAGCACCAUUCAGGAACGGACUGGUACUAUCACACUGUGCAACUCUUGAUUUUUAUAUUCAAAUUCUUUUUUAUUAUUAUUAUUAUUAUUAUUAUUGUCUUCCUUUUAUGUCCCAUUAAACUGUCUUUAUCACAACCUAUGAGUCUGAAUAUUCCUACUCUCUCCCCCAUACCACUGGUACGCAGGCAGGCAAUGACGGAGGGGCUGUGUGGUGCUUAGUUGCCAGCUGGGGGUAAACCACAACAAUUGGAUGAACCUACUUAAUGCCCAUUGCAUUAUACCUUUUCUUCCUCCCCUGUGGAUACACAAGCACCUAAGCGUAUGUCGCGUAGUCUGAAAAUGUUGAUGAGAAGGGCAGUGUCCUUGACCCCUCACCUCUGGUGGAGAUGUAACUAAGGAAUCCCUCAAAUUCUGAAUUGGAAUCAGGAGAGCAUUUUUCUCAUAUUUGUUUCUAUUUUAUGGUAAUGCAAAUGACAAAGGUAUGUCCUGGUAUUUCUUUGCCUCCAUACCUUCUUUUUUCCCAAUUUCCACAUAAUACUGCCUAUAUUCCAUCGUUCUUCUGGUCAGAUGAGAGUGAUCUCUUAUAAGGACUAGCAGUUAUUUUCUAGGGAUUUCCAGAACCAUAUUUCCUAAUAGUUCCAUAACCAAGAUAGAUGUUUCUAAGGGAAUAACUACAUGAGUGCUCGCAGCUGUGUUCAAAGCAUAGUACAGCCAAAGUCUGUUGUGAGUGCAUGUUACACACCCAAAAUUCAGUUCCAGACAGUGUUGGGGCUGCAUUUUAAGAGAUCAUUUUAGUUCCUAGGCCUCCUAAUGCUAAUAAAAAUUCUUGCUGUUGCAGGAUUAGUCAAUGGCAAAACCCAUCUGGAAGAUGAUUUUUUUCUCCCACUGAAACUGUGGGUGGAGGUCUGGGUUUGCAUCCUUGCUCUCUUAACUAUUUUUUGUUCCUGGCCAAAGCAGAAUUGGUUGGGAUUGUGAUCCUGAGCCUGUUUAAAUAACCAUUUAAUAAAUGUUCUGGCUUUCUCAUUAUAGGAACAAAUUUCAGAUCUGAAAUUUGGGUGUCUCCGCAGCUUUUUCCGAGGCUCUACAUUAUUGUAUUAGCUUGUGGCUCUAGUCCUGAAAAGAGUGUAAUUUCAUCCUCGCAUUUCAAAAGGUUAAUCUCUUCUCAUUAACAAUAAGGGGUCACAUCACAUGGCUAAAAAAAAAAAUAGUAGCAUCCAUCUGAAUUUCCUACCCAUGUGAGCAGUGGAAAAAUGAACAGGAGUGGGAAGGAGUCACACAUCAUAUACUAACUCAUCUAAAUCUGGAUGCUUAAAUUAGGUUCCUCCAGCAAGUGGGAUCAGGACGAGUCAUCUCUGUCACUGUUAGAAAAGCCAAGAGAGAGAUUAGGCUCCUAAUCUAUUUAUCAAAAUGUUUUAUUGUAUUUUAUUAUGUGUUAAAUACCUUAUAAAGGUGCUGUGAUUAUCUUGCCUUCUUCCCAGCCUCUCAGCCUCUUAAACUGCUAACUUAUUGAUCCUGCUGAACUUUCAGAAGUACGCCAGAACUACUUCUCCUGAGCUCUAGAGCAACAGGAAACUACAAAGAAACUUGAAGAAAGCCAAGACAAAAAAUGUUUGGAAAAAAAUUCCAGAGAUGAAGAGGAGGAGCUGCAGAUGUGUGUCACAGCCACAACAGUAGCUGCUGCUCUCACCCCACAUGGGCUGUGAGAACUUAAUGAGCACAAUUGUCCACACACUUAAUAAAUACUUGGUCUGAAGGACUGAAGAAGGUCAUGCUUUAAAGACCUAUCUGCAGACAAUUGAUCAUGAUGGGGCUAAUAAAGUAUUUAUAGGAGGCAAAAGGGUGACUCCAGCAGAGCCAUAGAGGCAGGAGCUGUCAUGGGAAGGGCCACCAAGCUCUUGGUCCUCACAAGUAGAUGCCCAGCAUCCCCUGUGGGAUGUAAGGGCUCCACUGCUGCACCAGCCUUCCUGCCAUUGGCUUCAGCAGCCUAAAUGUUUCAGGAGCCUUUAAUCUGAGUCUAGGUAGAUGAAAGCAGCUACACGUGUAACUAGCAAUGCCAUAAUGGCAGCUUUGAUUACAGUGUAGGUAUCUUCAAAAAUAGAUGAUCUUGGGAAUCAAGGUCAGGAUGUGAUUAUGAGAAUUACAGGCUUUCCUAAAAGUGCUGAGGAAAACAAAAAUGCAAACUGAAAAACUUAUUGAUUCUUCCAUUUUUACCCUGGUGACCAGCUACAUCAAACUGAUCUGCCGGGAGCCAUCACAGACAAAUCCGCAGUAAAAGAAACACUGCGUGGAUCGGUGGCAGACAUUAGAAACCUUCCCAGAGGAGAGGUAAGGAAUGUAGAGCUGCCCUUGUCGCUUCUCCUUUGGUAAAUGACUACUCAAAAACCCUAAUUAAGUUUCCAUCUUUAAAAUGUGAUUUCCAUUUGCUCCCUGAGGUUUAAAAAUAGUGGAAAGAUUUCAGCAAUUGAUGACACUCUCAGUUGUACUAAAUUAGAGCGUAGAAGAAUUAGGAGUUGCUACUGGUGGUGUCACAUAGUAAUGGUAUCUCCUUUUGUUCUUGCCCUUGCACCAGGUUGCUGUUCCCCACCACCACGCUCCUGGGCAGCAGCCACAUACCAGAGAGGCAAAUCACACACCAGUGGUGCUUGAUGGUCAGAGUAAGUUUUUUAUCACUUUUGAAUUCAUCUAGCCCUUGAAUCCCUUCAUUCAGGCUUGCCCACGGGCCUGUGCCUCCAAUCUUUUCUCACAUAACACAGGCUUGUGAAAAGAGGUAACAAUUUUGCCUUUAUGGGUGUUUUUGAUAACAGCUUGACUUUACUGACCACUAUGGAAAUUCUCUGGAUUUGCACUGCUGUGAGCUAAACAGGGCUCGGGGGAUCCAUGUGUGUGGGUUAUAGACUCCUUAAUUGCAUGUGGGCAGCAUUGUCCUCUGACUCAGAAAUACCCUUGCCUUAGGAAAAAAUCAUAUACUCCCAAAAAAUUAUUGUUGUUCUCCAUUUAUAGACGUGAUCGCUUUAACAUUGCCCUGCAUUUGUCUUCACAAAAUUUAUUGGAUAAAUGGCAAAAAAAGGCUAUUAGUUGUUUCCACUGAAAUCUGUGAGUGAUAAACACAUCUGUUAUACUCCUAAUUGGGUAUGUUUUUGAUUGAACAGUACCUGAUUCAAAAGCAUCUCACCUGCUCUUAAUAUGAAGGCAAUAAAAACAUAGCUAUGUGCUGUGUUUCUGGCACAGUUUCAGCUCUUCCACAUUACUUAAAUCGUGACCAUAUAUUCCAGUUAGCUUAGGCUUCAGGCUUUAAAAGCCCAAUGUGAGUAAUGAAGGGAAAGCAAUCUGAUUAGCUAGUGGAGCUGACUAAAAGGCACCUUCAUUACAAAGGAGCUUAAAAAAGGAAUAAAACUACAUAAAAUGGAUUAAAGGUAUGAUGAUAAUGGUAGUAUCAAACAGCAUAGCAAAGAAAAAUAUCUGCAUUCAACAGAUAUUAAUAUUUAAUAGAUGGCACAGACAUGUCCAUGGCUUUGUAUUCUUCUGUUUUAAUGAUCUUUACCACAGCUUGAGGUCCUUUGUCUUGUCCCCUUCUACUGACAUCAGCUGGAGGAGACAAAGAUUAAAACAAAGGUAAUUUCCCUGUGGUUGUUGCUUGGCACUAUUUCUGCUUUGCUCAGCCAUGAGCUGAAGUUUAAAGGAUGAAGUGCUGUCACUCAGGCUGAUUCUCCCUUCCACCCCAUCUUACCAGGGUUAACCACUCAGCCAGUCACCACGGAAACGCGUGGCUCCUUUGCCACCCCACAGCCUCAUAUUGGGAACGGCACCAUAAUCUCAUUAGGAGGUUGAAUUUGCCAUUGAAGCUUGAAUUCUCAUAACAGGAGGGGAGUGGACUAAUGCAAUUAAGCAAAUUAGCAUUUUGAGCCAUUAUAUCUGUCCAAUAGCCUGAGCAAAGACUAGGUAGUUUUCUUCCUCUCCUAAAAAAAAGUCAACAAAACCAAUACUCCAGUCCUCUCCCCACAUGGUGUUCAGGGAAAUACUGUAGUCCCCUCUCAACUGUAAAAGUCUUUACAAAUGGGAAGAAAAUUGUUCACUUGACCAAAAACCUGAAUAGUAUGCCUCUCUUUUUCCCAGUACUUGGAUCCCAGUGGUUCUGAUUAUUUUUAUCAGUGUAAUGUUUAUGCUUCUAAGGUAAAGUAAAUAAAACCAGAACAUUUUGUUUUGCUCUUUUCUUAUGGUAUGUGACAGUGGUUACCAGAUCAGAACAAAACUCCUGUUGAUUUCAGAUCUAUUUUGAUGUGAAGUGUUUCUUAAGUGCUAUGAAUAACUCCUUUAAAAUGCACCAGAUUUUCAAGAGAUAAUUCCAGCAUAUUCAGUAAUUCUCUAGAAACGCGGAUUAUUAAAUGCCUAAAGCAGCGCUUUUCUGCCUUUUGUUGUGGGGUUUUGAGGCUAAUCCAGUUCCCUCCUCCCUCCCUCACCCUGCCAAGUAAACAAAGCCGCAAAAGCGGACUGUAGCAAGAAUCAGGAGCCAUAAAUCUUUGAAUAAUAUCCUGGCACAUGAGUUUCAAAGGCAACAUAUUUCUCUGAGAGCCCAGGGGAGAGUGUGAGGGAGAAAGGGAAGGAAGGGAGUGGUGGUACCCUCCUGAGGAUAAUGCUGCCAUCUCCAUCACAACAUUUCUUCCUGGCGAGGUGGAAGUUGGAAUGGCAUGGGUAGGAUCUAGGAGCCUCUUACACAUAUCAAUUACUGAGGAGGUUAUGCUGCUGGCUGCUCGCCUGUCUUCAUCUUUGAAUGGGAAAGGCAGGAAUAACAAGUGCAUUUUAGUAGAUGUUAUUGUGCUACCACUCAUCUCUUCACAAACAAAUCCCAGUCUGCCACCAGGCACUGCAGUCAGGAGUGGAAGCAUGGGUUAUUACUAAAUAAGGGCAUUGGCUAUACACUCAACUUUAUAUAAUACAUGGUUCCUACCCUAAGCUGCUUACAAAAUAGAUGUAUAUUAUGUAGGCAGAAUACAUAGUCCCAAAGGAUAGUGUAAUCUUAGCAUUUUUUUCCUGAAAAUGCGAGGGACUUCAAGACUGAGUCAGUGCUGAGAAUAUCUGUCACAAGCUUGAAAAUAGAACGUAGUGUAGAUAAUGCUGCGGUUAUUUGAAAAGCGUCACGAAGCUGAGUAUUUCAGUGGCUACAAACUCCCAAAAUGUCAGAGCUGAGCUGGUACUGAAGAGAAACUGAUAUGUGCUGAAACAGAAAAUACAGGACUGAGGCUCACGAGCAAAAUGGGCUCUGCACUGUGAUGGCAGUAGCCAUACAGUUUGGAUUAAAGUAUUUUGAUAUUUAUGGUAUCAGAUCAGAUAAUGAAAAAUUUUUAAAAAAAAUCAUGUUUUUAAAAUAUUAUUUUUCCUCCUGGUACCAUUACAAAACAGAAUCAGGGGUUGAAUUACUUUUCUGUGUGAGUUCUUAUGUAACACUGUAAAGUAGUCCUGUUUUGCCUAUUUGGUUUUUCCCUUUUAUCAUGUUUGGAUUAAAAUGUUGCCCUAAUCCUGCAUAUCCUGCUUUGAAAGGCUUAGAUCUGUAAUGUAUUGUAUGGUAUCCUUUAAAAGGCUUUGCUCUUUACUGUGUGGUAGCCUUGAGUUAACAAUAUAGAUUUCAAUUCUUAACCUUAUAUUUGAUAGUUUUGCUUGGGUUGUGUUCUUCAUUUAAUACAAUGUAAAAUUUCAAAUAUGCAUAUUAAUUGGGAUGUAUUCUUGAAAGUUUUUCAGAGGUAAACACCAUAAAUGUGUAAUUUUGGGGAGGGGAAAAAAAAAGAGAAAUUGAAGCCAUAUUUUGUAUCCAUCCUGUAAGGCUGUGACCGCUGUUCCUGCAGUGGAUGAGUGUUACUUGCUCUUGAAGAGGUGAGGCAGGAAAGCGCUGCCAAGUACCCAUGACCAGGUUUUCCUGGUCACCUUCUUUCAUCCCAUAGUGAGGUAAUAAGUUCAUUCAACAGCUGUUAUCUUUUUCCCUCUCCUUCCCUGUUCUCUUUUUGACGGUAUAUUUACUGGCACUAUUCACUGUGUGAUUUUCCAUCACACAAAGGUUUCAACAGGUAGUUUACAUAGCUCACCUCUGCUACAGAUGAGGCAUAAAGAAUACACCAAAAUGCAGCUCUGCAGCUGCAUCUCUGCCUUGACCUACUGCCAGACUUAAACAUAAUGGUUUCAAACUCUGCAAGCCUCUGGCAUCUUUCUUGCCCUGAUUAUAUUUUAUGCUUGGUAAAAAGCAUGAGGCACAGGGGUACCCCCGUGAAGAUGAGAGGAUAAGACCUUAAAAAUUAUGCUGCAGGCAACAAGGAUUUGAAGAGAGGUGUAAUGUGGCCCAAAGGACAAAGGGGAUUUUAAUACUCUGAAUGAGCAGGAGUUAGAGGAGAAGAAAAAGCAGGAGAUGGAGAUAAACAAAGGCAGGGACAUGCUUCAGGGAAAGUGUAGUAAAAGAAGAGAAUCCACAUGCCAAAAGUGAACCUCCCUUUUUAUCUUCCUUUUGUGUUUCAUACAGUCACAUCAGCACAAUAGGUAUUCAUCUAGACCAAAGGAUCCAUUCAUAACUUUUUCAUCUCUUCGGGGAUCUGUUAAAAUUGUACAUGGCUUUGCCUCCUGAGAUAGUGAACUCUUGUCUUGAAUGGAAAAAGGAUGGUGUACAGAGCCCAAAAUUAAAGCAACUAAAGACAGCUUUAAAGUUACAAAAUGAGAUAAAAAUUAUCAGCAACACUUGCAGAUGUAAUAGAUACAAAUCCUUCUUGGCCUUCAGUGAAGAACAGGAGUUUUAUGAAAACAUCUCUGGAAUGUGGAGAAAACAGAUUUUUAGUACAAAAGUCCAAAAGAAAUAAGAAGGCAACCCAUUGUGUGACAUGCAGAGGCAGUGCCACAUCCAAAUGUAUUGCUCUUGACAGACAGCAAAAAGGAUGAGUCAGGUGUGUAUUCUUCAUUCAGGUGAUGGCUGUCAUACCAUAAUGUUUUACAUUAUUGUUCACUAUUUAUUACUAAAGGGAAUUGUCCCACUUUUAAUAUCAGCACUUUGCCUGAAUAAAUCCCACAUGCCUGUUUUUUGGGAGAAGUAAUAUUAAUUCAUGUAGAGAAGGUGACUAAAAGCAAAGCAGAAUAGAGGGGGAAAAAAGAUAAAAAUAAUGAAUCCUUAGUGUUCCUUUGCAGGAAAGGCUCUAGUUAUGAUGCAAAUGAUACAAAAUUAAUGUAUUCAUGAAUUAAAAAUGAGAGGUGGCACAAACAUAAACUCAUUGUUGUUGAAAUUGUCGUGCUCCUCAUGAAUUGCCACGUUAUGCUGAGACUCCUCAGGGCAAAGCUGCUCACCCUAGGAGGGGUGAGAGGCUUCUGCACCACUGAGCACAGAAAGCAGAGGGACAUCCUGGUGCAAGAAAUGUCGGUGAUGUGUGGGGUGGAUUUGUUAGAGGGAGGCACAGCCAGCAGGUGUGGUAACACAGCCACAACAUCUCAUGGAGCCACCACCAGUCCCUUCCUCCUCCCUAUCCUCCCUAUUCUUCAUCCACUUGGAAGGGGUGUGUGAUAAGUGGAGGAGAGGGAGGUGCAAGUCAUUGUCAGGCUGCACUGGGGUUCCAAAACUAGUUUUCCAAAUAUACUGUAACAAGAAGUAUGUCUUAGACCUAGGGAUAUUUUAUUAAUUGUUGGAAGGUAAUUUUAUCUGUAACCUUGCUUUUUCUUUUCUCCUCAUCCAUAUUUUGUCUCCUUCUCCCCCAGAUUUUCCACUUUGCUGUGUGAUGAGAGAUUUACAGAUUUCUGGGUGUGCAAUCCAAUGCUAGUUGUCUGUAAGGUGUGCCAAAACAGGCUCAGCACAGAUCUCCAUGAAAUGAUGAAAGGUUAAUCCAGUUCUCAUCUCUGAGUUGUUCUCAGCAUGCACAGCUACAAUGCCCAGUGGUUGGGGCUUCAGAUAAUGUUGACCAACACAUUUCUUACAGAGUAAAUCCUUUUCAAAGCAAACUAAAGUUGUGUUUUUAACUACUGAAAUAUUUCUUAAAUGUCCUAAUAAAUAGAAAACAUUAAAGAUGUUCCUGUGAUAACCAACUGAUCAUUUUGGGUCUACAAACUCUCUGAGCUUCUCUACUGACCUUCUAUUAUUUUCCUUCAAAGUAUGAUUUUUCUCCCCCAUUCUGUAUUUACUCCUGUUGUUAUUCUAAACUUCAUUGUCUAUUUGUUAGCUUAGUUCUUCUUAUUGCUGAUAAGCUAUGAUGCAGAGUAUAUGUUUUUGCUUAUAUUUUAAAAAUCCUGUAAAGUUCCCUCUCAUACAAAACUGUCAAGAAAGGCUCAUCCUUGUUCUGUGUCCUACCGUCACAUUUUCCACUCUCAUGUACGUUUCUUUUUCAUCUCACUCAAUUCAGCUAAUUCUAAACUUUCAGAAACCUCUCUUUAUCAUAUUCACAUAAAUGUCUUCAGCGUUUCUCAAACAUAUACAAAAGCUAGAUAUGCUGAAUGCAUUUUAGAAAGAAUUAUUUGCUCAUCUCUAGUUCCCAGUCUUGCAUGGGUCUAAAUUUAGUUUAACACAAAAAUUGUCUAUUAUGUAAUUUCAUUAAGGUUUUCCUAGAGUCUGUUGCAGUCUUUAGCCACCAGAAUAGUAUUUCGCUGUGAGAAAAUUUGGUGAAUGAAGAUUUUCUCUUUCUUUGCUAAUAAACAGGUUAAAAAUGCCAAUUGUAUUGUGAUAUUCCUUGAUAGGUUCCUUGAUAAACUUGAUUAACAGUUUUCCUUUUUAUUCAGUUAUCCCUACAUGCUUUCCACAUUGCAGCAAAUUGUUAGCUCAUUACAAGAUGAAUUGUCAAGAACCUCCAAACUCAGAUUUUAUCAAAACUCUUGAGAAAAUGUUGAACUAAAUGGUUUAUUGUGCACUUCAUAAGCUCUUGAUAUUUAGAAGACUUAGAUUUUCUAUGUAAGCCUCAAUGGUUUAAUUUUAUUAUUUUUAAUUAAUGUCUAUGUUCCAUGCAGUGCUGAAUCAUCUCCUGCACUCACACAGAGCAGCAGCUGGUUUGUGAUUUCACUUCUGUGCUGACAUCCCCUUUUGGAAGGCAUAUCUUCCUACUCUUUUUUUUUUUUUUCCCUCUGGGCUUAAUCUAGUCUUACCCAAGCAGUCACAAGCUGUGCUGCCAUAGACGGUGGAUUUAGCUUUCUCCAGGGAAACAAACAGCAGAGGCAGCACAUGCAGGGCUCCAGCCCACACUCCAGCCUGCACUCCUGGCCCAUUCACAUGGCCCAGCUACCUAAAGAUGAGCACAGCUCACCAGCCCCUCCCUGGGGAUGGACAACACGAGCCCUUGGGACAGAGGGCCAAGCCCACAGCAGCACAGAUGGGAGAAAGGAAGGAAAACCAAACCCAGGUCCUGUCUCCUUUCAACACAGGGCUGGAGGGCUGGGGCCAGAUGUGAGCAACACUCCUGGGACACCCACUGCUGUGGCAUCCCUCCUACAAGUGCCUGUUCUUAACAAGGGGCAGGAUAAAAUUAAUGUAGGAGGUUGCACCAUCAGUGUAAGGACAGCAGUGUGAACUUGUAAUUACUCCCAGACCAAGACAUACAUCCAAUAAAUUGAGUUUUGGGUUAUCUUUUCUUUAAUGUAAAAAGAUCUUCAUAUGAAUAUUGGACUAAUUAUUGCACAGGUGAGGCAUUUAAAUACAUUCAACAUCACAAGGCUGGUCAGUGCUAGCACCAUGCUGUCACCUCAUGAUUUUAAAUAAAGAUUAGCAGAGCUGUAAUUCCAUUGCCAGGCAAGAAGUUGACAAAGAGAUAUUUCUUCCCUCAGAAACUGGAAUACAGACCCUAAACUUUUUUUAUGAGAUAACUAGAAAACUUUUCUUCUUCCUUAUUUUUCCUGCUCUGUCAAGACUCUUCAACACCAUUCAGGGCUCGUCUCUAUAACCCGAAUUGCAGUAAAUCAAUUAGUUAUCAGACUGUAUCUUAUUCUUUAUAAAACACCAGAAUUUCUGAUACCAAAUGAUAUAAAGAACUGCUUUCAUCUAGCCUCAAAAAAGAAAACCCUUGAAGUGUUUUAAAGAUUCAACAUGUCAAAGUUUUGAGCCUUUUUUAAAAUUCUAAUAAUGCAGUGCUAAGGACACCUCUUGGAUGUGCUACAAGUAUCUGCUGCUCUGAAAAAAUUUUUCAGUGAAUAUUAACUCCUUGAUUUAGUGAACAUCUUUAUUGUUAAACCUUCUGUUAUAGAUGAAGGAAAACACCAUUCUCCUUUCUGCAACUGAUAAUAAACAAACUGUAAUACCCUACAAGACAAGAAAACAAAGCUGGUUUUUUGACUUCUGAAUAGGAGGUGCUAGCUUAUUUAUUUAAAUUCAAAAAUUAUAGCCAAUGACCUGUCUAGUGAAAGAACAUAGAACCCCCAGUAUACCCCUAAUACCGUUCUUGGUGAGUCAGACUGUGCUGAGAUCAUAGGUUUUGUGUUCUUCCACAUUUCCCACAACCAGUGGUCCGUCUUCCAAACAUUCCUCUAGUGAAUGGAAAUCAGUCUUACUUGCUUAUACUUCUCCUUAUGUCAGGAUAAUGCAUUCCUGCUCACUGGCUCUGCUUCUUCUGAGCCUUUAGUUUUGGUCCUAAACACUGUUUGCAUUGUUUCCUUAAAAAUAGCUGAUUUCUCAACCCAUUGUGGAACCUUCUCAGCUGAGUCUAAACUGCAGGAGCUAACUGUGUACUUGCCUCAAAGGUGCUGCGUAACUGAGAGCUUGUGGGUCUCAUGGGAAAGCAAUGACGUGCCCCAAAUUUGGAUGGGGGCGUUGGAGAGGAAAUUCCACGUGGAAACACAGAAUUGUAAAGCAGACUUCGGCAAUCAGCUGUUCUGAGCCCUAACAGAACAGCAGAUGCACCGAGCACAAAGGAACUCCUGAACCAUCACUGUCAGAGUAUUUGUAAGAAGCAAUUGUUUGGGAUUUUCAGAGGCAGGGAAAAAACUAAGGAGCAGCUGUCUCAAAGAACAGUCUUAAAUCAAAAAUGGCUGCAGCUUUGGAGGGAAUUGGCACUAAAGCCAGAGGUCCUAAAGGUUUGGGAUGAAAUCAAGGUAGAUUUAUAGAAACUAUUGAAAAGGGGUAAAACAAAACUACAGUAUAUCUGCCCAUGUGUAUUAGGAGGAAUUGAAGUGCAAGUUAAUGAAAAUUUGGGGGUUAGUUUCUUCUGGGAACAGCCUCCUUAGUCAUGGUCAGAAAAAAAUUGUUGAAGAGGUGCUAACAGUAGGAGGAAAUAGUACAGUGAGAAUGAAGCAGUGUGGAAAAAUACUGACUCUAAUUGCUAAAUUUGGCACAGAUAUAUCUAGGAAGUUAAUCCUGCUGAAUGUUUCCUAUAUUGGGAUAUUGGUUACUUAUCAGAGCUAUGUAUGUGCACAGAAUUAUGUUUUCUGUAGCUUUCUUCAGCCAACUGUACCAUUAGAAAUGGAUAAUUUGUAAUAUUGUCAGCCUGACAUUUUGCUCUGUGUAAGGUGACACUUUCCUUGCAGGAUAUCCAAACUACACACCAACCAACAGGCAUCUUAUUAGUCUGCCUCCUUAGCUUUUAAAAUGUCUCAUAAUUCUGUGAGAUAUUUCUGGUGCUGAGAUUCUACCAAACUGUAUCUUACUGUAUCAAACUGUAUCCAGUAAUGUGUAUCAAUUUCAAUAACCAGAAAAUGUGAAAAGCAUCCAUCUUCAGUAACUAACAAGUAUAUGACCCAUCUUUCUUUUUCCUCACUGAACACCUGAUAAAUUAAAGCUACCUUUCUGUGCCAGCUCCGCACGGUCUAUGCAGGAAGACCCAAAAUGAGCUGUUCCUCUUCUGGUGCCUAUGAUUAGAGACAGCCUUUUAUUCUCAAUGGUUCCUGACUUAUUUGGUCUCUCCCUGUUGCAUCUCAUGAAACAUAAGUGAUCCUUUGGAAGUUAGGGAGCUGGAAAAUGAGUGGCACACGGGGGUGGGCUACAGACAAUAGCCGAUCCCAAGUACUUGUGCCUAGAAUGGGAAGUGGGUGAUAAAUUUUAAAAUGUGGAUGUGGGUGUUUAUUGACAUCACAGGUGGUUUCUGAGGAGAAAAAGUACAAAUUUAUUAACAUUGGAAACCACACUUUCUUUGUUUAGUUCUAAAAGAGGCAAUAACUCUAACAGCAAGGUAUAUGCUCCUUAGUACAAUAGCAUGAUAUGUAAUUUUGGAGGUUAUUUUCCCACUGGAAUAACAGUUGGAUGUACUCUGCAGAGAUGGGACAAUGGGUAACAGACCAAGUCAGUCGUCAGCAUGAACUUUUGUGACUCUCAAGCAGACACCAGAAUGGAAAAACUCUGCCUCUGUGGUGCUGAACAUAAAGGACUUUAUAUUCUGGCUCUUUGACAUUUCCUUGGAUGUUGAAAGAGGAACAGUGCACAAUUGGGAACACCCACCUGUACAGGGUUGUAGCCUGGGUAGCAGUGUUUAACCCAGAGAUGGAGGAACUGGGAGAGGAAGUAGCUCCAUGUUUGGGAAGAAUAAGGAUGUCUUCACCUUUGGGAACCUCUGCUUCUUGCAGAGGGAGGCACAAGCUCCUCCCCAGCAAGGGUGCAAGAGCCACAUUUGCCUCCCAACCUGAGCCAGAUCCCAGGAGGUUUCUCACACACACACAAAGGCUCAGUACCAGCAGGAAUUACUGAUAGCAGUCACCGGGCCCUGGCAGCCUCUUGGUAUUUAAGGGUUUGGUCUUUAAUCCCUGCAGGCUGAGGAAGCUUCAAAGUCAGACUUCCCACUUGCUGCCCUGACACAUGGCCACCUUUGUAAGAGGUGACGUGCUGCUGUUCUCUCAUCAAAGUUGAUUGCCUCUGUGUUUUGUGUGGACCCCAAAAAUCCCUUUAGAAAGCAUUGGUGAAAACUGCACAAUGCCCAGGGGCUCCCCUGCUGGCUCCAAAUGUGCAGGCAUGGACAAGGAAAAAGCUCUGGUCACCCAUGGGGUUUUAUGGCCAAAAUUAAGUUUACCACUGGAGUUAGGAGACUGUGGGCUUGGCUGGGUUUUGGGAGGGUCACAGUUUUGGAUGAAUAUGCAUAACAUCUCUUCAUGCUCAGCCCCUUACAGGAGCUAGUCAUGCAAUUAUUUUCAUUCCCUGAUUGAGUUAUGGAAAUUAGUAAUAUAAUUACUGGAGGACAGAAGCUCCAGUGAAGAACUGAGACCUUUAAUAAUCAGGUUUUGUACAAAUAAAGAGCAAGAAGUGACAAUGUAGAUAUAACUCCUGGGACCAGGAACAAAGCUUUAAAAAAAGGCCUUUGGGGCUUUGAAUCCCUCAGGGAGAGAGAGCAGUUGAGGGAGAGCUUGCAAAAAAAAAAAAUUGUGGAUUUGUGAACUUGAAAAUGUCGCACAUUUUUCUGUUGAAGCUAUGCCUCAUUGCUGUUGGUAACGUGUCACUCUAACACCUGCUGGCCCUGAUUAGGAUUCCUCUGGGAUGGUAUAAUCACAGAGCACAAUGUGGCCACAAAGAAAUUACAGCUCAUGAUCUGCAACAUAUAAAGGGGGAAUAAUGAUAGACUCAACCAGGUUUAUGCUGGGUUAUCCAUACAUAUGGCCUGUAUGGAUGCCUUUGUGUCUUCAUUUACUAUUUUGAUUUAGCUCUGUAAAUAUCAGUGCUCCCUCAUAACUCUGAGCCUGGCCAUUAUGAGUUGGCUGCUCUUAUGGUGUCACUGAAGAAGAUCUCAAAUAGGGAUUUGCAAUAGAAGAAAAUAACAUCUUAGACUUCGGCUACUGUAAGCUGGGCUGGCUGAGGGGCAAAUUUACAUUUAGAUUGAGCCUCUUCACAUCUUCUCUAAGUAAUUGUAAACUCUCUUGUGCCUCAGCCCAAGAAAAGAAUUUAGGCAGUCCAACACUGCCAAAAACUGUCUUAUGCUUUGUAAGAUGUGUGAUAGCUAAUCUAAGUAGUCAGGCUUAACAUCUACUUUUCAUAAUUAUUUGUGCAAAUACAGCUCAGUUAUCAAAUGUCAGCAUUAAUCAGACAAAGGAUAUCAGCAUUGCCAAAAUAAACAUGUUGUAAAAGUGUUGUGUCUGAUUAUUUGUAUUAUUCAACCAACACCCAGAUGUCCUAUUAUGUUAAGAGCUACACUAGCAUAUAAGAAACCAUUCCACCAGGAGGGAGUGCAUGACUAAUUUAUGAUAAGAGAAAACAAUUGGACAUUACAAGCAAAUAAAAAGAAGGAGAGAGGAGAAUUAGAGGGGUCGUGGUGGUCUGUGGCUGUAUGUGCCUAUAAGAACCAAUAAUGAGUUUGAAGUAAAGGAAAAAAAAAAGAUUUGAUAUAAAUAAAUAAGUAAUAUGAUACCAGUAAUUCUUGCCAGGCAUUUGCCUAUCCCAGUGGAGAUUUCCCUGGUAUGUACUUAGCUUUCACAUGAGGGUCUUAUCCUCAUUCACGCCAUGCCUGUUUACACCAUUCUCGUAGGGGUCUCCAAUAGGCAUUGCAUGACAGCAGAGGAUGGAGGAACACAGCCAAAAUCCUGCAGCUGGCCUCAUACCACACAAAUCUGCCGUCUGCACCCAGCCAGGCACAUGCCCAGGGAGGGCUACAGGGGCUGCAUUUCUUUGUUAUUAAAUGCCUUAUACUGCCAGCACAGCAUAAAGGGAUCCUGGUGUGCCUGAUCAUUCGUCUCCCUCUAAUGUGUUCUGCUACAGCAUGUUUUCAGUGCCACAGCCCGAAUUUCUUUGAGCAUUAAAUGUGAAUAAACCACUUUAUUAAGGUGCCUGGUUGAACUGGUGCUGCCCAGGACAGCAAACAUUACUGUAUGUGUCAAUGAGAAGAAGGUGGACAGAACACAAAGACGCACAGUUUGCAGAGGUAUCUGCUCUCCAGUCUCAUUUCUGAUCCAAGGUCCUGCCUUGUCAUGGGCUUUUCAUUAUUCUGAGUCUCUGUUUGUCAAGGGCACCUCCUCAGAAGUCAGGAUGAGAGUCUUAGUCCUCUUUGCCUGCAGGAGCUUGUGGUUGGUGAUGCACAGCAAUACAAAAGACAUCUUAAAUGUAAAACAUUUAGCAGUUGAAACAAUAUUUAGUGGGGGAGAAAAAGAUAAGUGAGAUAGAAAAAAAUAUGUAUUUAUUAAUGUAUUUGCAAUGUAAAAUUUACAAGGUAACCACAGGAAACUGAGCUCUGUCAGGCACUUAAGUGUCUCAGAUUAAUUCUCCCAGACAAUUCCCAGCCUUUUGUGAAUGUGCUACUUUUUUCACAUCCCUAAUUCUUUUCCCCUCCAGUGCAAAGAAGCCUGGCUGUGUCUCUCAGCUAUUGUUUGUAGAAAAGUGGCUUAUCUUGAGCCAUACUUUUCCUUUCAUUUUCCUUUUGAAUUGAACCAUUCUGUUCAUGGGGCGAAGUCAAAACAGGGUACUCAUAAAUUAUCACAGAGCUAUUCCCCUUUCAUCACAGGCAUAAACACUUCGCAAAUCAAGUAGGUGAAGCUGGAAUUCCCAUCUAUUCUUGGAAUUUAUAGCCAAAACCAAGUGAGAGUGGUGACACAGUAAUGCAAAACAACCUUUCUGAUAUCUCCCAUGUAGGGCAACAUCUAUAAUAUUUAGUGUUUCCAUAAUAAUUACUAUUUCUCAUUAUUAAAUACAGUAUUUGCUAUCUCUUUCACUCUCUUUCAUCUUCUCCAUAGAGGAGAAUUCCUUGACCUGCCCAGCAGUGUACUGACAAAAAAAAAUAAAAA